AUUAGCUAGUUGGUGAGAUAACAGCCCACCAAGGCUUGGAUGCGUAGCCGAUCUGAGAGGAUGAACGGCCACAUUGGAACUGAGACACGGUCCAGACUCCUACGGGAGGCAGCAGUAAGGAAUUUUCGGCAAUGGGGGAAACCCUGACCGAGCAACGCCGCGUGAGUGAUGAAGGUCUUCGGAUUGUAAAGCUCUGUUGUCAGGGACGAACGGUAUUCCUAGGAAAUGAGGAGUAUUUGACAGUACCUGGCCAGAAAGCCACGGCUAACUACGUGCCAGCAGCCGCGGUAAUACGUAGGUGGCAAGCGUUAUCCGGAAUUAUUGGGCGUAAAGAGUGAGCAGGCGGCAGUUUAAGUCUGGAGUGAAAGCGUGAAGCUCAACUUCAUACAGCUUCAGAAACUGAACAGCUAGAGUACGGGAGAAGUAAGUGGAACUCCAUGUGUAGCGGUGAAAUGCGUAGAUAUAUGGAAGAACACCAGUGGCGAAGGCGACUUACUAGCCCGAGACUGACGCUCAGGUGCGAAAGCGUGGGGAGCAAACAGGAUUAGAUACCCUGGUAGUCCACGCUGUAAAC
This 574-nucleotide ribosomal RNA is filed under the name uncultured bacterium. Its description in RNAcentral is "bacterial SSU rRNA". It matches the Rfam family "Bacterial small subunit ribosomal RNA", at positions 240 to 807 of the family's 1533-position model. The record is from RNAcentral.